AGGAUGAACGCUGGCGGCGUGCUUAACACAUGCAAGUCGAACGAUGAUGCCAGCUUGCUGGUGGAUUAGUGGCGAACGGGUGAGUAACACGUGAGUAACCUGCCCUUAACUCUGGGAUAAGCCUGGGAAACUGGGUCUAAUACCGGAUAUGACUCCUCAUCGCAUGGUGGGGGGUGAAAGCUUUUUGUGGUUUUGGAUGGACUCGCGGCCUGUCAGCUUGUUGGUGAGGUAAUGGCUCACCAAGGCGACGACGGGUAGCCGGCCUGAGAGGGUGACCGGCACACUGGGACUGAGACACGGCCCAGACUCCUACGGGAGCAGCAGUGGGAAUAUGCACAAUGGGCGCAAGGCCUGAUGCAGCGACGCGCGUGAGGAUGACGCUCGGUGUAACUCUUCAGUAGGAAGAAGACGAAAGUGACGGUACCUGACAGAAGAAGCGCCGGCUAACUACGUGCCAGACGACGCCGC
RNAcentral lists this ribosomal RNA (468 nucleotides) under uncultured soil bacterium. RNAcentral describes it as "bacterial SSU rRNA". It matches the Rfam family "Bacterial small subunit ribosomal RNA", at positions 26 to 521 of the family's 1533-position model. The record is from RNAcentral.